UAACACAUGCAAGUCGAGGGGUAUAUUUCUUCGGAGAUAGAGACCGGCGCACGGGUGCGUAACGCGUAUGCAAUCUACCUUUUACAGAGGGAUAGCCCAUAGAAAUUUGGAUUAAUACCUCAUAGUAUAAUGACUCGGCAUCGAGAUAUUAUUAAAGUCACAACGGUAAAAGAUGAGCAUGCGUCCCAUUAGCUAGUUGGUAAGGUAACGGCUUACCAAGGCUACGAUGGGUAGGGGUCCUGAGAGGGAGAUCCCCCACACUGGUACUGAGACACGGACCAGACUNCUACGGGAGGCAGCAGUGAGGAAUAUUGGACAAUGGGCGCAAGCCUGAUCCAUCCAUGCCGCGU
This 350-nucleotide ribosomal RNA is filed under the name Flavobacterium sp. TRP9:2-2. RNAcentral's name for it is "bacterial SSU rRNA". It matches the Rfam family "Bacterial small subunit ribosomal RNA", at positions 49 to 402 of the family's 1533-position model. The record is from RNAcentral. Lineage: Bacteria; Pseudomonadati; Bacteroidota; Flavobacteriia; Flavobacteriales; Flavobacteriaceae.